GAUGAACGCUGGCGGCGUGCCUAAUACAUGCAAGUCGAGCGGACAGACGAGGAGCUUGCUCCUCUGACGUUAGCGGCGGACGGGUGAGUAACACGUGGAUAACCUACCUAUAAGACUGGGAUAACUUCGGGAAACCGGAGCUAAUACCGGAUAAUAUAUUGAACCGCAUGGUUCAAUAGUGAAAGACGGUUUUGCUGUCACUUAUAGAUGGAUCCGCGCCGCAUUAGCUAGUUGGUAAGGUAACGGCUUACCAAGGCAACGAUGCGUAGCCGACCUAAGAGGGUGAUCGGCCACACUGGAACUGAGACACGGUCCAGACUCCUACGGGAGGCAGCAGUAGGGAAUCUUCCGCAAUGGGCGAAAGCUUGACGGAGCAACGCCGCGUGAGUGAUGAAGGUCUUCGGAUCGUAAAACUCUGUUAUUAGGGAAGAACAAAUGUGUAAGUAACUAUGCACGUCUUGACGGUACCUAAUCAGAAAGCCACGGCUAACUACGUG
Molecule: ribosomal RNA, 497 nt
Filed under: uncultured bacterium
Lineage: Bacteria
Description: partial 16S ribosomal RNA
Rfam family: Bacterial small subunit ribosomal RNA
Source: RNAcentral